Acanthosepion pharaonis is the source of this 83-nucleotide non-coding RNA. The record is from the annotation of a GenBank genome assembly. NCBI's taxonomy places the organism in Eukaryota, Metazoa, Mollusca, Cephalopoda, Sepiida, Sepiidae.
CCUUACGCUCACCAAAGUUAAGCAACGUUGAGCCUAGUCAGUACUUAGAUGAGUGACCGCUUGGAAAUGCCAGGUGCUGUAAG